RNAcentral lists this ribosomal RNA (468 nucleotides) under uncultured bacterium. RNAcentral's name for it is "partial 16S ribosomal RNA". It matches the Rfam family "Bacterial small subunit ribosomal RNA", at positions 28 to 507 of the family's 1533-position model. The record is from RNAcentral.
GACGAACGCUGGCGGCGUGCUUAACACAUGCAAGUCGAACGGAAAGGCCCUGCUUUUGUGGGGUGCUCGAGUGGCGAACGGGUGAGUAACACGUGAGUAACCUGCCCUUGACUUUGGGAUAACUUCAGGAAACUGGGGCUAAUACCGGAUAGGAGCUCCUGCUGCAUUGUGGGGGUUGGAAAGUUUCGGCGGUUGGGGAUGGACUCGCGGCUUAUCAGCUUGUUGGUGGGGUAGUGGCUUACCAAGGCUUUGACGGGUAGCCGGCCUGAGAGGGUGACCGGGCACAUUGGGACUGAGGUACGGCCCAGACUCCUACGGGAGGCAGCAGUAGGAAAUAUUGCACAAUGGGCCGAAGCCUGAUGCAGCAACGCCGCGUGCGUGAUGACGGCCUUCGGGGUGUAAACCGCUUUCGCCUGUGACGAAGCGUGAGUGACGGUAAUGGGUAAAGAAGCACCGGCUAACUACGUG